Myotis davidii is the source of this 75-nucleotide non-coding RNA. Lineage: Eukaryota; Metazoa; Chordata; Mammalia; Chiroptera; Vespertilionidae. The record is from Rfam.
GGUUGUUCUUGGUUGACACACCCCAGAAUUGGGCUCCUUCCUCUCUGGUGUCAGGUGCAUCACCUGAGAACAGCA